Molecule: ribosomal RNA, 368 nt
Filed under: uncultured organism
Description: bacterial SSU rRNA
Rfam family: Bacterial small subunit ribosomal RNA
Source: RNAcentral
CGGAGGAUCCAAGCGUUAUCCGGAAUCAUUGGGUUUAAAGGGUCCGUAGGCGGUUUUGUAAGUCAGUGGUGAAAUCCGGCAGCUCAACUGUCAAACUGCCAUUGAUACUGCAGGACUUGAAUUAUUGUGAAGUAACUAGAAUAUGUAGUGUAGCGGUGAAAUGCUUAGAUAUUACAUGGAAUACCCAUUGCGAAGGCAGGUUACUAACAGUGGAUUGACGCUGAUGGACGAAAGCGUGGGGAGCGAACAGGAUUAGAUACCCUGGUAGUCCACGCCGUAAACGAUGGAUACUAGCUGUUCGGAAGCAAUUCUGAGUGGCUAAGCGAAAGUGAUAAGUAUCCCACCUGGGGAGUACGAACGCAAGUUUG